Molecule: small RNA, 657 nt
Filed under: Pongo abelii (Sumatran orangutan)
Lineage: Eukaryota; Metazoa; Chordata; Mammalia; Primates; Hominidae
Description: processed transcript
Source: RNAcentral
GUGGGCCGCAGACACGUUGGAGCCGGCGGGGGCUGGGGACUGGCCUCGGGGAGACUUGAGAGGCAUCUGGGCAGUGGAGGCCCUUCCUGCUGGAGUCUCCACAAGGCUCUAAUGGUGUCCCUGGCCAGUGUCCUUCCACCUGUCCACAAGCAUGGGGAACAUCUUCGCCAACCUCUUCAAGGGCCUUUUUGGCAAAAAAGAAAUGCGCAUCCUCAUGGUGGGCUUGGAUGCUGCAGGGAAGACCACGAUCCUGUACAAGCUUAAGCUGGGUGAGAUCGUGACCACCAUUCCCACCAUAGGUGAGGUGGGGGCCAGCAGGGAGUGGGCUGGGCUGGGCUGGGCCAAGGUACAAGGCCUCACCCUGCAUCCCGCACCCAGGCUUCAACGUGGAAACUGUGGAGUACAAGAACAUCAGCUUCACUGUGUGGGACGUGGGUGGCCAGGACAAGAUCCGGCCCCUGUGGCGCCACUACUUCCAGAACACACAAGGCCUGAUCUUCGUGGUGGACAGCAAUGACAGAGAGCGCGUGAACGAGGCCCGUGAGGAGCUCAUGAGGAUGCUGGCCGAGGACGAGCUCCGGGAUGCUGUCCUCCUGGUGUUCGCCAACAAGCAGGACCUCCCCAACGCCAUGAAUGCGGCUGAGAUCACAGACAAGC